UCGAACCCUCCUUCGAUCCCGGAGAACCCCUGCGUGUCGUCGUACACAUCCACUAUCAGUUUAGUUAUAUCGGAGGGCUCCUUCGGCGGUGGACCCCCGCCAGUCUGCCGCUUCCCCUUCUUGGCUAUUGAGUACUCUUUCUUUGCGACGCUAAAAAACGCCUUCCAUUUGGCCCUGACCUCAUCAGAAGUGCGAUCCGAGUUAUCUGCCAAUGAUGGUGCACAAGUCAAGAGUACAGUACCAGAGAUUAUAUGGAGUAAAUGAAGAGUCAAUGUUAUUUGCAUCAAUACGAUCUUUAGCAAAUUCUCCAGUACUGAUGCAGAAUCUUACAAACGCUACUAUACUUGCGGUAAAAUACCACUGAGUUUGUUUGACAGAGCUCUACUCACUUUAGAAUUUUAGCGCCGCUAAGCAAUUUAAAAAAUAUACAUGGCUGUAUAAAACUAACUUUCUAGGGCUGUUGAGCUCUGGAUAUAAUGGUGAUAAAACAUGUGCAGUGAUAAAGACAAUUACUAAAAGAAAGUGAAUAAUAGAAAAGUUUCAAAUGAAUUAAUAAGCAAUUUGUGUCUGAAUAUGUGUAUUCAUAAAUUUUGUCCAUAUGUUUUAUUAUACUGUAUGCUUGGUUUGUGCAUCUUCGUGAUCAUGUGAUAGGUUGGUUCAACAUCAGAGAGCGCCUAUUGUUUUAUGUGAUUUGAAGUUCGCAGGGUUUUCUAACCAUCCCCCUCUACUAACUAUGGCUAAACUUACCUGCUUACAACGUUGUAACACUUUGUCUGCAUCCUUUUCAUUUAAAUGAGAUUUCAAAAGUUUAUGCAGCUGAUUCCAGAAAUUGGAGCCAGCAUAAUUUUUCUGAGAAGAUCCAGGCUGAGAAGACAGCUUUUUUAUAGACAGAUACAACUUGCUUCCAUCUCCAAUCAAAUACUCAUC
Molecule: long non-coding RNA, 927 nt
Organism: Nematostella vectensis (starlet sea anemone)
Lineage: Eukaryota; Metazoa; Cnidaria; Anthozoa; Actiniaria; Edwardsiidae
Exons: 2
Source: RefSeq, a predicted model, not a curated record